UAGCUGGCGCAGCCAACACUGCAGUUCGAACGGUAGCACAGCAGAGCUUGCUCUCGGGUGACGAGUGGCGGACGGGUGAGUAAUGUCUGGGAAACUGCCUGAUGGAGGGGGAUAACUACUGGAAACGGUAGCUAAUACCGCAUAACGUCGCAAGACCAAAGAGGGGGACCUUCGGGCCUCUUGCCAUCAGAUGUGCCCAGAUGGGAUUAGCUAGUAGGUGGGGUAACGGCUCACCUAGGCGACGAUCCCUAGCUGGUCUGAGAGGAUGACCAGCCACACUGGAACUGAGACACGGUCCAGACUCCUACGGGAGGCAGCAGUGGGGAAUAUUGCACAAUGGGCGCAAGCCUGAUGCAGCCAUGCCGCGUGUAUGAAGAAGGCCUUCGGGUUGUAAAGUACUUUCAGCGGGGAGGAAGGUGUUGCGGUUAAUAACCGCAGCAAUUGACGUUACCCGCAGAAGAAGCACCGGCUAACUCCGUGCCAGCAGCCGCGGUAAUACGGAGGGUGCAAGCGUUAAUCGGAAUUACUGGGCGUAAAGCGCACGCAGGCGGUCUGUCAAGUCGGAUGUGAAAUCCCCGGGCUCAACCUGGGAACUGCAUUCGAAACUGGCAGGCUAGAGUCUUGUAGAGGGGGGUAGAAUUCCAGGUGUAGCGGUGAAAUGCGUAGAGAUCUGGAGGAAUACCGGUGGCGAAGGCGGCCCCCUGGACAAAGACUGACGCUCAGGUGCGAAAGCGUGGGGAGCAACAGGAUUAGAUACCCUGGUAUUCCACGCCGUAAACGAUGUCGACUUGAGGUUGUGCCUUGA
RNAcentral lists this ribosomal RNA (805 nucleotides) under Enterobacter cloacae. RNAcentral's name for it is "bacterial SSU rRNA". It matches the Rfam family "Bacterial small subunit ribosomal RNA", at positions 37 to 833 of the family's 1533-position model. Lineage: Bacteria; Pseudomonadati; Pseudomonadota; Gammaproteobacteria; Enterobacterales; Enterobacteriaceae. The record is from RNAcentral.